This 2279-nucleotide long non-coding RNA is filed under the name Homo sapiens (human). RNAcentral's name for it is "HSALNT0266010". The record is from RNAcentral. Lineage: Eukaryota; Metazoa; Chordata; Mammalia; Primates; Hominidae.
GACAGCUUGAGCUCUGGAGGUCCAGACUAGCCUGGGCAACAUUGGCAAAACCCCAUUUCCACAAAAUAUACAAAACUUAGCCGGGCUUGGUGCUUUGUGCCUGUAGUCCCAGCUACUCAGGAGACUGAGGUAGGAGUGAGGCAGGAGAAUAGGCUCUGGAGGAGGGAACCUAUGGCUGUUUCAUGCCCAACUAAAUUGAAAGGAAAAUCCUAACUUUCGACGCCUAAGUAACAAAAGGACCAGAGGCUACUCAGGCUACUCCCUUUGCAAACUCCCAACCUUUUCUGCGUGGUAGAUGGGAAAUUGGCUGUCCGCAACCAAUCAGACUGAUUGUGGGUGGAGUCCUCCUUUGCAACUUUGUAACUUUACCUUAGCCUCUGAUUGGCUGCAAAAUGCAACCAAUUAGAUGUUGCACAAGAGUGUAACAUUUGUAACUCCACUUCAGCCUCUGAUUGAUGUUGAAAGCAACCAACUGCAGGCCACCACGUCGUUUCCAUGAGGUGAGCAUGAAGUGGCCAAUGGCAAACCUCUAGCCGGAGGUUUCUGGACAGGAGAAGAUUCUACAUGCAGGCCCUUGAGGCGCUGCCUCCCAAAGUGCUGGGAUUACAGGCGUGAGCCACCGCGCCUGGCCUAAUUUUUAUAUAUAAUGUAAGGAUGAAUGUUUAAAUAAACAAAUCUGUCUUCAAGCUGCAUUUGUUAAAACAGCAGAUGGAGAUUUAACUGAGCUGAGGAGGAACAGAGCUCUUUAUCUCCAGCCAUCAAGAGGCGUCUCAUCAAGAAGUUGGCGUGGCUUCUUCUUUGGCCUCUCCUCAGCUUGCAGAUGUCUCCCCUGCAUGUGCCUGUGUCCUCAUCUGUUCUCAUAAGGACACCAGUCAUAUAGAACCAGGGCCACCCUUAUGGCCUCAUGUGAUACUGUGGUGUGGCAAAAAGUGUAUGUUUAGUCUUGGUCCUAGGUUCCUGACAUACAGCUCCCAAAACCCUCAGAAUUUCCUGAGUAAUAGGGAAUUCUGUUAUUCAUAAUAAGCCCCUUUCAACUACACCAGCGUUUAUAUUACUGAGGUGACUCUAGGAGGAAAGGGGCUGGUUACCAGAUGGACCAACCCUGGGAUUAGGAUAAUCCCACCCCCAGCCUCCAGGGUGGGCGGGGCUGCAGCUAAACCCCAUCCACCUCUUCAUCUGCUGUUCAUCCACAUUCUUGGUCACAGCUUCAUAAUAAACCGGUAAACAUUUGUAAAUGUUUCCUUGAGCUUUGCAAGCCACACUAUCAGAUGAUCAACCCCCAGAGAUGGUCUUGGGGACUCCUGAUUUAAAGUCAGUCGUUCAGAUGCACAGGUCACAACGUGGGACUCAUGACUGCCUUCUGAACUGGGGGAAGCCAAAUGGAACUGAGCCCUUAACCUAUGGGGUCUGCACUAACUCCAGGUAGUGUAGAACUGGGUUAAAUUCUAGGACAUCCAGGGGCCUCUGAAGAGAAUUGGAGAAUUACGUGGUGUGGAAAGACCACGUUUGGUGUUAGAAGUGUUCUGCUGAGUAGAGAAACCAUGUUUUCCAUUUUACUUUUCACUUGAUUACCUCUUUAAAGAACCUGUCUCCAAAUACAAUCACAUUCUGAGGUACUGGAGGUUAGGGCUUCAACAUCCGAAUUCUGGGGAACACAACUUGGCCCACAGCAGACUGGCACUCUGUUGAUGAAGCCAUAGGAAAGCAGGCUUCAUACACGCUGAUGGGAAAUAAACCGGGGCAACCUCUACGGACAGCAACUUGUCAGCAUCAAAGUUUUAACGUGCAUUUCCCAAAAGAAGAUUCAUUAAUGGGCAAAAAGUGCACAGAAAGAUGCUCAACAGUAUAAGUAAUUAGGGAAAUGCAAAUCAAACUAAUGAGGUAACACUGCACACUGCCUGGGACAGCUAUACUCCUGGGAUCCACUGGGCAGAUGCACUGCAAUGCUGGUCUUCCCCAAGGUUCCUGCCCUGUCCCUCCUUGCCAUGGGGGCACAUUUAAGGAUGGCCACCUCCACACAAGCCGGUCCAGUGCAGCUUGGUCGGGGGGGUUCUGCUGCACUCCUGGGCAGCUGUGUGGCCGAGUCAAGCUGCUUAUGCUCUCUGGGCCUGAGCUGAGCUAUCAAAUGAGGAAGCCAAACCUGAUCCCAGGCACCUUUGUGCUCCAAAAUUCUCAUUCUCUUGGGCCCAGCACAAUGCCUUCUGGGCUCCCCUCACCACUGAGCUCCACAAGAGUCCUGAGGGGGAAAUCAGAGGACACCAAGCAGCCUGGUCUUGGAC